UUGAACCCGGAAUUCUAUUGGAAGGGCCAGAACUUCUGAACAAUGGGAGAGAGAACUUCGCUUUCAGCUGCUGAGGCACAGCCAAGUUUUUCUAUCCAUCUCAGCAUAAUCUCAGAACCACUCCAGGAAAACUGCUUAUCCUUUGGGGAAGCUGAUGAACCGAUACAGGAUAAUGAGAAGACAACACCCAGGCCUCAGUUGAAUUUCAGCUACAGGCCCAGAAAAGCAGCAAAACCAGGUGGGCAACACCAGGACCAACUGAAAUGACUGAAGACCCCUGCCCUGUCACUGACCAAUGAGCAGAGACCAUGAGCCUGAAAGACUCAUGGAGAACUGAUGCAUAUUGGAUGCACCUGGAGAACUGAUGCAUAUUGGGCUGGCUGAGACCACCCCUAAGAUUCCUGCCAGCCAGCCAGAGAUGAGAAGCUUUAAGACAAAGGGCCCAGCACACUCAAGCACGCUCUCCUUUGUGGAGUAGCCUGAGCCAUUCCUGCCUUCUUCCUGCACUUCCUUCUUCACAGGCACACGUCUCCUGAACUCUAAGGCAAUGGGCAGCGGCAACUGGUCCCAAGCUGAUCCCCUGAAACUGUCCCCUUUUCUCUGACUUCCCAGUGAGCCAUGGCAGCCCAGGCUGGGCUCCCCUAUUGCUUCUACGCUAAACUUUUUCUUGGUUCACUGCCCCCAGCUUUAAUAAA
Long non-coding RNA from Artibeus jamaicensis (Jamaican fruit-eating bat), 695 nucleotides. RefSeq lists it as uncharacterized. The transcript is spliced from 3 exons. Lineage: Eukaryota; Metazoa; Chordata; Mammalia; Chiroptera; Phyllostomidae. The record is from RefSeq and is a predicted model, not a curated record.